This is a long non-coding RNA of Symphalangus syndactylus (siamang), 693 nucleotides long. RefSeq lists it as uncharacterized. Lineage: Eukaryota; Metazoa; Chordata; Mammalia; Primates; Hylobatidae. The record is from RefSeq and is a predicted model, not a curated record.
AGACAAGGCCUUCAGUAUAUCAAGAUCAGUGGAUCAAAGAAACAUCUUCAAGAAACUAAGAGGCAACACAAGAUUCUCUCUGAUGAAAUGCUUAAGUAUAAGGAAAAUGAUGGAAGACACAGAAGAGCAGCAGAGGUGGGUAGAAGACUACUACAGAUGCCGGAUCGCCACUUCUGAAAGAAAGGCUCACGACAACUGGCUCUGUGUUUAAGCCUUGCAGAGGGAGAUGCAAGAGAAGAAGGCUUCCUGCAAGCAGCACAGAUAGGAAAUGAUUGAAAAACGGAGAGUGCUGGAGAGACACAUUAGUCAGGAGCCAGCUAGUGGACAACCAGGCAUAGAGAAUCAUCCCCAAAGAGGUCAAUACGGCUUCAGGAGGGCCCCUUUUUCAGGAUUGCCCUACUUGCUCUACUGCAUGGCUGGCUCUUCAGGACCAUUUGUGGGCUGCCAGACACCUCCUCUGCCUGGGUGGCCUCUGGGAACACGACCACUGCCUCCAUGCACACCACUUGGACAAGCUGAAAUUUGAAGAGGCCGCUGAGCUGUGACAGCCAUGCUGUGGCUCCUACAUAACUUGGAAAAGUAUCCAAUACGUUUUAUGCUACCUGCUCACCUGUCUCUAAUCUUCCGUAGUGUUUCCGCUAAUAGAGGUUUGCAGUCCUAUCUGUUUGGACGUCUGUUUCCUGGAGUACCAGA